This 254-nucleotide ribosomal RNA is filed under the name uncultured bacterium. RNAcentral's name for it is "partial 16S ribosomal RNA". It matches the Rfam family "Bacterial small subunit ribosomal RNA", at positions 524 to 776 of the family's 1533-position model. The record is from RNAcentral.
UACGUAGGGGGCGAGCGUUGUCCGGAAUUAUUGGGCGUAAAGAGCUCGUAGGCGGUGUGUCGCGUCGGCCGUGAAAACCUGCAGCUUAACUGUGGGCUUGCGGUCGAUACGGGCAUCACUGGAGUUCGGCAGGGGAGACUGGAAUUCCUGGUGUAGCGGUGAAAUGCGUAGAUAUCUGGAGGAACACCGGUGGCGAAGGCGGCAUCCUGGACCAAUACUGACGCUGAGGAGCGAAAGCCAGGGGAGCAAACGGG